Molecule: long non-coding RNA, 1486 nt
Organism: Dama dama (fallow deer)
Lineage: Eukaryota; Metazoa; Chordata; Mammalia; Artiodactyla; Cervidae
Exons: 3
Source: RefSeq, a predicted model, not a curated record
CAGAUCCUACCCAUUCUUCCAGACCCACCUCAAAUGACAUCUCCUCUAUUAGAUUUCCUGAUGCUUCCAGUUGGCUAAGAUGCCUUCUUCCUUUGAACACUUCAUACCCUCUCAACACUGAAAAGAGGAACCAGUGGAGAGAAAAUGAAAAGGCAGAAUAUCACCACUGACUCACCAAUUCCACCUGAAAAGCACAGUACUCAUGUACAGAUGUGAGAGUUGGACCACAAAGAAGGCUGUGUGCAGAAGAAUUGAUGCCCUCUAAUUGCAGUGCUGGAGAAGAUUCUUGAGAGGAGUCCCUUGGACUGCAAAGAGUUCAAACCAGUCAAUCCUAAAGGAAUCAACCCUGAAUACUCAUUGGAAAGAUGGAAGUUGAAGUUCCGACACUUUGGCCACCCAAUGCAAAGAGAUGAGUCAUUGGAAAAGACCCUGAUGCUGGGAAAGAUUGAAGGCAGGAGGAGAAGGGGACGGCAGAGGAAGAGAUGGUUGGAUGCCAUCACCGACUCAAUGGUCAUGAAUCUGAGCAAACUCCUGGAGAUAGUGGAGGACAGAGGAGCCUGGCGUGCUAUAAUCCAUGGGGUCACAAAGGGUCAGACACACGUUAGCCACUGAAUAACAAGAACAACCGUGUGCACGCAUGUGCAUGUGUCACACUUACCUAAGUAAGGCAUGCCAAUUUAAAACGUGUUUUAUCAGAGCCUUAUAUAAAGUAUAAUAGGUCUUCUCUCAUGAGGGUGUGACCUGAGAGGUAGAGUAAUGCUUGCAAGAAAGAAAAACAAUAUGGGUUAUGGUCUUGGCAAUUAAAAUGCUUUUGCUUGUAUUAAAAUAUUGUCAAUUGUUAUUGAUUUCAUCUAGUUAUAAAUUUAAGUUACAAAAAGGAAAACUUCUGCUGAUUUUUGUAUUAUGUCUACUAUAUAUUAACAGCUUAUAUAGUUACUGUCUGUCCUUUCCAGUGUUAAAAAUGACCCCAGGCUCAUUUGUUUAAAAUUUAUAAUAAUUUGACAAUAUCUUACAUUAAGUGAAUAUAUAUUCUUCCCAUUUUGAAAAUGAUUAGAUAGAGGAAAUUGAAAGCUAAAAUAAAUCACUCAAGUAGCCACUAUAAAUGUUAUGAAAGUCCAAUUUUCCUGAAUGUUAUGCAGUGUCCAUAGGCUGCAAACUAACAGUAAUAGUUUUCAUUGCCAAAAGCACAAUGGUGUAAACACCGCACAUAAUUGAAAAAAAAAAUUUAAAGAAAUUAGAAAAUUCUAACAGUUUUUUUCACAAAUAAUAGUGUGAGAUUCAUUGAGGUUACUGUUAUUCAUGAAUUCAUAAGACUCUGGACACAUAUAUUUUAUUUAGCUAUAAAGUUAUGUUGCAAAUAUUAAUUAUACAAGUUUCAUAUACCAAAUUUUUAUUUUUAUUUAUUUUUGAAUAGCUCUCUACGUUAAGGUCUUAAAUGUUAUCUCUGCAUCCAUUGUCAUGUUGAUUUGUACCAUUUGACUGUGAA